CCCGCACAAGCGGUGGAGCAUUGUGGUUUAAUUCGAAGCAACGCGAAGAACCUUACCAGGUCUUGACAUCCCCUGACAACCGAGAGAUCGGCGUUCCCCUUCGGGGGACGGGGCGACAGGUGGUGCAUGGUUGUCGUCAGCUCGUGUCGUGAGAUGUUGGGUUAAGUCCCGCAACGAGCGCAACCCUCGACCUUAGUUGCCAGCAUUCAGUUGGGCACUCUAAGGUGACUGCCGGCUAAAAGUCGGAGGAAGGUGGGGAUGACGUCAAAUCAUCAUGCCCCUUAUGACCUGGGCUACACACGUGCUACAAUGGGCGGUACCAAGGGUCGCGAACCCGCGAGGGGGAGCCAAUCCCAAAAAGCCGCCCUCAGUUCGGAUUGCAGGCUGCAACUCGCCUGCAUGAAGCCGGAAUCGCUAGUAAUCGCGGAUCAGCAUGCCGCGGUGAAUACGUUCCCGGGCCUU
Molecule: ribosomal RNA, 462 nt
Filed under: uncultured Anoxybacillus sp.
Lineage: Bacteria; Bacillati; Bacillota; Bacilli; Caryophanales; Anoxybacillaceae
Description: bacterial SSU rRNA
Rfam family: Bacterial small subunit ribosomal RNA
Source: RNAcentral